Brienomyrus brachyistius is the source of this 1222-nucleotide long non-coding RNA. RefSeq lists it as uncharacterized. The transcript is spliced from 3 exons. NCBI's taxonomy places the organism in Eukaryota, Metazoa, Chordata, Actinopteri, Osteoglossiformes, Mormyridae. The record is from RefSeq and is a predicted model, not a curated record.
AGGGUAGGAAUCCAAGCCCAGAUAAAACCUCCAAAAUGCAUUUGCUGGCCACUGCGGGGUAAGAGGAUGUUUCAGAGAGGCACUGCUGUCACCGUGCCAAGCCCAAAUGACUUCAGCUCCUUCUGUCGCUACGAAUUUAACAUGUAUGCACAGACUCUUGCGGGAUGAGACGAGCGGAGCACCGGCGCCGGGGAAGCCGGGCGAGGCGGCGCCGGUCUCGGGUAGCGAAUCCAGCGCCGAACGGUUCCGCCGGUGAAGCACAACGCUGCUGCCAUUUUGAUAUGUAUGCAGGAUGCCAGAAAUGCAGCAGCAUUUUGUCCCAGAAGACACCAUGCCCCCACCCCAGAGACACAUGUUGGAAAAACAUCACCGUCCCUCCCACACCUGCUGCCUCUCAGGCUGCCUCCCGCCUCUCAGGCUGCCUCCCGCCUCUCAGGCUGCCUCCCGCCUCUCAGGCUGCCUCCCGCCUCUCAGACUGCCUCCCGCCUCUCAGGCUGCCUCCUGCCUCUCAGGCUGCCUUCCCCUCGCCACACCCUCCACAUUUCCACUACUGCGUUCACGUGCCGCACACCAGACCUCCAGCAGCUCCGGACCUGCUGACGCCUCAUUUGUAAUGAAUCUCCACGCUACCUGCGACUGAAACAUCAGGAAGACAUUCAGAAAAAUAUGUUUAAAAGUAGUUCUUUUCAUGGGUGAAAGGAAGUCAUCCAGGAGACUAGGGCAAAGACAAUGCUGAUUUUAAAGGACAAAGCAACCUACUAGCUAAUUCUAUUCCUCAAGUAAGAUGUACCUCAUGCCAAAAUGCCCAAAACGUGAAAUGAUCCAUUAUUUUAGUUUGAAAUAUUUUGUGGUAGCACCACUACAGACCUACCUGAGCUACAGACCACCGAUUCCACAGUGUCUGUCCACCACCUAAGCUGCAGACCACUGAUUCCACAGUGUCUGUCCACCACCUAAGCUGCAGACCACCGAUUCCACAGUCUAACCACCAGCUGACCUACAGACCACUAACUCUACUGCACCUAUUGACCGCUCAUUCUAUUAUGUAUUGCAAUGUCCUGAAUCAUUAACACUGUGAUAUAAGACUAUAUUGUAUCUGCAUUGUUUAGACCAGAUGGAGAACACAACCUCUGGCAUGCUUGUUUUGAGGUGUAUGAUGACAUUUCCUGUACCGGGGCUGCUGGUAUAGGUGAGGAAUUCAUUAAACAAAAUUAAAGUCAAA